This 253-nucleotide ribosomal RNA is filed under the name uncultured bacterium. RNAcentral describes it as "partial 16S ribosomal RNA". It matches the Rfam family "Bacterial small subunit ribosomal RNA", at positions 524 to 776 of the family's 1533-position model. The record is from RNAcentral.
CACGUAGGGUGCGAGCGUUGUCCGGAAUUAUUGGGCGUAAAGAGCUCGUAGGCGGCUUGUUGCGUCGAUCGUGAAAACUUGUGGCUCAACCAUGAGCUGGAGGUCGAUACGGGCGGGCUGGAGUUCGGUAGGGGAGACUGGAAUUCCUGGUGUAGCGGUGAAAUGCGCAGAUAUCGGGAGGAACACCUAUGGCGAAGGCAGCUCGCUGGGACGUUACUGACGCUGAGACGCGAAAGCGUGGGGAGCAAACAGG